RNAcentral lists this ribosomal RNA (668 nucleotides) under Alphaproteobacteria bacterium. RNAcentral's name for it is "bacterial SSU rRNA". It matches the Rfam family "Bacterial small subunit ribosomal RNA", at positions 28 to 742 of the family's 1533-position model. Lineage: Bacteria; Pseudomonadati; Pseudomonadota; Alphaproteobacteria. The record is from RNAcentral.
AACGAACGCUGGCGGCAGGCCUAACACAUGCAAGUCGAGCGCUCUCUUCGGAGAGAGCGGCAGACGGGUGAGUAACGCGUGGGAACCUACCUUUUGGUACGGAAUAACUCAGGGAAACUUGUGCUAAUACCGUAUGUGCCCUUCGGGGGAAAGAUUUAUCGCCAAAAGAUGGGCCCGCGUUGGAUUAGCUUGUUGGUGGGGUAACGGCCCACCAAGGCGACGAUCCAUAGCUGGUCUGAGAGGACGAUCAGCCACACUGGGACUGAGACACGGCCCAGACUCCUACGGGAGGCAGCAGUGGGGAAUCUUGCACAAUGGGCGAAAGCCUGAUGCAGCCAUGCCGCGUGAGUGAAGAAGGCCUUAGGGUUGUAAAGCUCUUUCGCCAGGGAAGAUAAUGACUGUACCUGGUAAAGAAGCCCCGGCUAACUCCGUGCCAGCAGCCGCGGUAAUACGGAGGGGGCUAGCGUUGUUCGGAAUUACUGGGCGUAAAGCGCACGUAGGCGGAUUAGUCAGUUGGAGGUGAAAUCCCGGAGCUCAACUCCGGAAUUGCCUUCAAUACUGCUAGUCUUGAGUCCGAGAGAGGGUGGUGGAAUUCCCAGUGUAGAGGUGAAAUUCGUAGAUAUUGGGAAGAACACCAGUGGCGAAGGCGGCCACCUGGCUCGGUACUG